ACAGCAAAAAAUUAUGUAAUAUGGCUCGAUGUAAUAAUGCCAACGUAACGAAAAAUCAAUGUAAUCACAAAUUUCAGAUGCAUAAUAACAUCAUCUGCUGUGUGAUAUCACAUUGUCCUUAAAUUACAUUGAAACGACAUCAUCACUCUGCAGUACGUUGGUCUUGUGUAAUAUUUACAUAUUAAACAUGAACAAUAUUACACAUAAACAGCUGCAACCACAUCAUUCCGACCUGCUCAAGUGAUAUUACACAAAACCGAUGUUAUUUCACAUUCAAUCUCAAUGCGAAAAUAAAUCUCGCAACACUGUCCGCAAGUUGUUGUUGAUAGUCGACAAGUGACGGCGCCAUUUUCUCGGAGCUGUUCGUGUUCGAAUCUUUUUAAGUGAUUUUAUUAGGAAAAUUUAAAACAAAAUCGAAAAUUUAGGUCUAAUGACCAUGAAAACGUGUAUUAAUUGUGGACCAGGAAGAAGUUAAUACAUCCGGUGCUUGGCCCACUACCAACGGUAACUUCAGCAAUCCGGACAGGUGCCCAUCAAUGUGCCCCCGAAGGACAUAGUCAUUCCGAUGCCUCCGCUUUCUCAGGCCAUUCCGGAUCUUCCGCCAGGGGCCAGGGGAAUAAACCAAAUAUAUGGAGCUGACAAGACUUUCGAAUUGAUUGUGUCGGAGAAUCAGUUCGGCCAGUUUUGCACCGUCGGUACAGUGAUCGGUUCCGAUCCGCGCUACAAGAUGGUUUAGCCCAGUAGGGCGCCCUGCUCUAUGGAGAAGCUGGGCUUGUCGACGGCGAUUUUUCCGGCGAAAGGGAUGCCAAUUUCAAGAAGCUGGAGAAACACGGCGUUAUUUGUGAUUACCACAGCCCGCGGGACACAUUUGCCUAUGUGCAAGAGAAAUUAUCGACCACCAAGGGAGUUGAACUAGAACACUGUUCAUCAUUAUGGGACCAUGAAGGACCUUCGUCAGCUUAUUUGGUUCGAAUGGAUCUAAUUCCAGCGACGACAGUGAAAAGGGUCAACGAGUUUGGAUUUACUGAUCGAACUGUACUAGAUCUAAAGUUCAUCCAUCAACGACCUCUUGGGCCAUACUUCCAUGCCGUAUCUAUUAAUCAUGUAAAUAGUUAUAAA
Aedes aegypti (yellow fever mosquito) is the source of this 1119-nucleotide long non-coding RNA. RefSeq lists it as uncharacterized. The transcript is spliced from 4 exons. The record is from RefSeq and is a predicted model, not a curated record. NCBI's taxonomy places the organism in Eukaryota, Metazoa, Arthropoda, Insecta, Diptera, Culicidae.